This 604-nucleotide ribosomal RNA is filed under the name Leptataspis fuscipennis. Its description in RNAcentral is "eukaryotic LSU rRNA". It matches the Rfam family "Eukaryotic large subunit ribosomal RNA", at positions 1323 to 1820 of the family's 3401-position model. Lineage: Eukaryota; Metazoa; Arthropoda; Insecta; Hemiptera; Cercopidae. The record is from RNAcentral.
UGGCGCUGUAGCGUCGUGCCUAUACUCUGCCGUCAACGGCACAGGGGGCGGCACACUAGCCUGUGUCGGGCCGUUAUGCCUUGACGAGUAGGAGGGUCGCUGCGAUGUGCGCAGAAGGGUCUGGGCGUGAGCCUGCCUGGAGCCAUCGUCGGCGCAGAUCUUGGUGGUAGUAGCAAAUACUCCAGCGAGGACCUGGAGGACUGACGUGGAGAAGGGUUUCUUGUGAACAGCUGUUGCACAAGAGUCAGUCGAUCCUAAGCCCUAGGAGAAAUCCUAUGUCGAUGGGGAGCCGUUUAAGUUGACGGGCGCGCGUUAGCGCGCUUCCGAUAUGGAAGGCAACCCACGGGGCGAAAGGGAAUCCGGUUCCUAUUCCGGAACCCGGCUGCGGAACCGUUCCUAAGCGGGCCCUCAUCCGAGUGCUCGACGGGGCAACCCGAAGAGACCCGGAGACGCCGGCGGGAGGUCCGGAGAGAGUUUUCUUUUCUCUAUAAGCGUUCGAGUUCCCUGGAAGCCUAUAGCAGGGAGAUAGGGUUUGGAACGCGAAGAGCACCGCAGUUGCGGCGGUGUCCGGGAUCUUCCCCUCGGACCUUGAAAAUCCGGGAGA